Molecule: ribosomal RNA, 253 nt
Filed under: uncultured bacterium
Lineage: Bacteria
Description: partial 16S ribosomal RNA
Rfam family: Bacterial small subunit ribosomal RNA
Source: RNAcentral
UACAGAGGGUGCGAGCGUUGCUCGGAAUUAUUGGGCGUAAAGCGCGCGUAGGCGGCUACUUAAGUCGGAUGUGAAAGCCCUUGGCUCAACUGAGGAAGUGCACCCGAAACUGAGUGGCUAGAGUACGAAAGAGGGUCGCGGAAUUCCCGGUGUAGAGGUGAAAUUCGUAGAUAUCAGGAGGAACACCUAUUGCGAAGGCAGCUCGCUGGGACGUGACUGACGCUGAGACGCGAAAGCGUGGGGAGCAAACAGG